UACGAAGGGUGCUAGCGUUGUUCGGAAUUACUGGGCGUAAAGCGCGUGUAGGCGGCAGCGGCAAGUCGGGCGUGAAAUCCCACGGCUCAACCGUGGAAGUGCACUCGAAACUGCGCAGCUAGAGUCCUGGAGAGGAAGGUGGAAUGCUUGGUGUAGAGGUGAAAUUCGUAGAUAUCGAGAGGAACACCGGCGGCGAAGGCGGCGAACUGGACAGAUACUGACGCUGAGGAGCGAAAGCGUGGGGAGCGAACGAGG
Molecule: ribosomal RNA, 255 nt
Filed under: uncultured bacterium
Lineage: Bacteria
Description: partial 16S ribosomal RNA
Rfam family: Bacterial small subunit ribosomal RNA
Source: RNAcentral